UCCAGACUCCUACGGGAGGCAGCAGUGGGGAAUAUUGCACAAUGGGGGAAACCCUGAUGCAGCGACGCCGCGUGAGUGAAGAAGUAUUUCGGUAUGUAAAGCUCUAUCAGCAGGGAAGAUAAUGACGGUACCUGACUAAGAAGCCCCGGCUAACUACGUGCCAGCAGCCGCGGUAAUACGUAGGGGGCAAGCGUUAUCCGGAUUUACUGGGUGUAAAGGGUGCGUAGGUGGCAUGGCAAGUCAGAAGUGAAAGCCCGGGGCUCAACCCCGCGGACUGCUUUUGAAACUGUCAGGCUGGAGUGCAGGAGAGGUAAGCGGAAUUCCUAGUGUAGCGGUGAAAUGCGUAGAUAUUAGGAGGAACACCAGUGGCGAAGGCGGCUUACUGGACUGUAACUGACUCUGAGGCACGAAAGCGUGGGGAGCAAACAGGAUGAGAUACCCCAGUA
Molecule: ribosomal RNA, 446 nt
Filed under: uncultured bacterium
Lineage: Bacteria
Description: bacterial SSU rRNA
Rfam family: Bacterial small subunit ribosomal RNA
Source: RNAcentral